AUUGUGUAAAUAGUCCUUGAAUAAUAUUAUUUUACAAAAUAGCCCCUACAAAUGUGAAAUGACAAGAAUGCGCUCAUGUGCAAAUAUGCGACCAUAUUUAACCAAAAAAUCCGACUGAGUUAGAGCUAAAUGCCAUAACGUGUAGGAUUUUGAUACGUUAAGGACAAAACUAGUCAAUUUUGAAGUCAAAGGACACCCCUGCAAUUUGAUACAAACAUAAAAGACAAAACUUGUAAUUUACUCAAAAAUUAAAAGAGCCCAUGCGGACUGCAACGACUUUUCCUUGCGGUCAUCUGUGUAUUUUUUCAAUGUAACACAACGUCAAAAUGAAGUUUUUUAGUUCUCAUUAACAAUGUGUCUUCUUAUGAUCUCUCCUUUCAAUCUUUACAGGGCUCCCGCCCUCAUGUCACCUUUAAUCUACAAUAUUCUCUAUAUAUUGCAGCUUAAAACUAGACUUGUGAGUCAACAAAUACAAAAACAACAAAGUGCAACAAUAAAAGUUACAACAUGCUCUUUAUUCUAUAGAGUGAUACAUGUCCAACAUAUCGUUACUCAAUGGUAUUAUUAUUUAACAAACAUAUGAAAUAAAUAUCCAACAAAGUCAAAUAAAAGAAUGUUCCAAGAAUCUUUGACACAUCCACCACAUUAGCAGAGCUAGAAAUAAGUUAUUCAAAGGGUGGGCACAACAGAGAUAAGUUUACAUCCAGUUAACUUUAGCUGGUACAAACUUAAGCUAACUAUUUACACGGGUUGUAAUCGCGGUUUGGUUGGGUUAAAACACCUACCAAAAACCAUCUUUUGCCAUUUUCAGGAACUCACAAAGUGUGAUGGUUGGGAGCUCGUUGUUGUCCGAUUUCUUCUUCUUGAUUUUGGUCAUCUUCAACACCUUUGUACCUUUGGUCUCGGACUCCGUUGUUGACACCAAGUUGUAGAACUGUCAAUGACAAGAUGAUUCAUAGGGUGUUUGGAUGUGCACUUCGAAAGCAACCGUAUGAUAUUGAAUGAACAUUGUCAGAUAAUUAGUUUUUUUCCUCUUAUUUGGUAACCGUGAGAACCCGUUACUAGUGUUUGGGUCAUUAUCAUAAAGUGGAUAAGACGGUUUAAUUUAUAUUUUACUGACAAUAGUUUUAAUAAAACCUUUUGAAAAUAGAUUUAUAUUUAUAUUUUACCUCACAAACACCAUGAAGUAACAACCUAUGGAAAGGAUCUUGGGCAUACAUCACAAGAACCUCCUCAUUAGCUGCCUCUGAGACAAAGGCCCGUAUGUUAACCUGAAAACGAUCAGUGUGAUCACUAUGAUUGCAAAAAUCAUAUUACUGACACAAUAAUUUAAUUUACUUAUUAGAAUGAUUCAGAAGGUUUUUAUCCAUUUGACCCCUUUCCUAAAUGGGCCAAAACUGUCAUCUUUGCUUUAUACCAAAAUUUAUAUGUUUCAAGUUUUCAACUGCACAACCAUUUUACAAGCAAAAAGAUUAUUGAAUAAAAAUCUUCUGGUAUAACAAGAUAGAUGCGUAUACUGUAAAAUACCUCAAAACCAUUAACAAGUUCUGGAAGGAAGCUUCGGCGAAAUGCCUCUCUAGUUCUGCAGUCAACCCUAUGCCAUGCAGUUAACGCAGCUAUCUUAUCAGCAUCCACACUACUUUUCUUCUUUGAUGAGAAACCUUUGAGAGCCUCUAUUGCACCAGCCUGCAUGGGAAAACAUUUAAGGAUUAAAUAUUAUAAAAAUCAUAAAAAAAUAAAGUGUAAAACAUAAAAGGUCAGGCUUUUGUUCAAUUUAUUUAUAAAUAAUCAAACUGUUAAAUAAAAAUAUAAAAAUAACUUUUUCUUGCUAUAUUAAUACUACUUACUGGAUAAAACAAUUCAGAAGGUUAUAUGCAUUAGAAAUACAAUUUUGAGUGACUUCGAUCCAUUCCUUUUUAGCUAAGCGUUUUGAUUUAAGUUAUUUGACCCAUAUGAGAUCAAUAAUGACCCAAACGACCCAUGUUUACAUCAUGAAGAAAGACAAAGUCCAUAGUAGAAAGAAAAAAAAAAGCUAAUUAAGAGCAGAUAAACAGAGUAAGAUAUAUUCUCGUUGCUAAGAUAUAAACUUCUUUCAAGCCAACCCCAUAUUAAAGGAAAUACGGAAAACGGGAGGCAUAGUUAUACUCAACAAUAGGAUGUUGACAUCAGUGUCAAUAGAAACAUGAGUAAGAAAUCAUUUUUUCCAAGAGUACCAUUGAUGGGAAAAGAGAACGACAAACAAGAGAAGUGGAAAACCUCUUUAUCCAUGUCUAUAUUCCUAAACUUGUCCCACUCCCCCACAUUUGUCAUGCAAAAUGGUGACGGCUGUGCCUCAUCACCUGUAAAGUCAACCAUAAACGUAUCAUUUUGCCAAUUCAGCAAAUAAAGAGCAUACCAUGGUGGGCCAAUAUCACUGCUUGGCCAACCAAAACCGAAUGAAAAUGCAUUUAACAUUAUAAGCAUUACUAUUUGUCCAUACUGAACUUUAAAACUCCCGUUUUGGUAACCAACUUUUUAAAAUUUUGCUUCUGAUGCAAUUAACUUUUAAAAUUUACCUUUUUGACCAGCUUUUAAACCUAUAUACUUAAAUUUACAAUAGAAAACAGAUGAAAGACAAACCACUACCAUCCAAAUACAGUAAUACACGGUUACACACACAUAAAUUAAAGUGUUUUACCAAAAGGUGGUGGAGCAAACAACCCUCUAAUUUCAUCUCCAGUCAAACGAGGUACAAGCUCCAACAGUAUACGAUCAUUUAUCCAUCUACGUGCCCGUCUGUUGCUAACCUGGAAGAAAUUAAUAAAGAUUGUCAACCACAUAGUUUUCAAAAACACAGGUCAUAAACCUAAUUAACAAUCACAUACAAUCCAAAUCACAACUACAAAUUAACUAAAGAUGAUGCAAACCCAAAUAGUUCACUAUUCAUGAAACUCCAGUCAUGUGAAUUAAAACAAGAAAUACAAUGAGUGAAAACACUAAGAACGGGUUACAUAUGUAGAAAGUAUCUAUCAAGUAGCAGUUUACUAAACUACAACAAGAUUGUCAAAACAUCAAUUCAUGUAUAAAUUAAAACAAGAAAGAAAAUGAGUAAAGUUUUAAAAACAUGUCACAUAUGUAGAAAGUAUCUAUCAACUAUCAGUUUACUAAACUGCAACAAGAUUAACAUCUAACUUCCAUCUCCUCACGUAGAUUACAUCGUAAAUAUGUAAAAAAAUAAUAAUUCUUUUAGCAAAUACAGAAAUAACUAACUAGAUUAAAAUAUUCAUUAACUGGUCAGCAAGAUCACAGUUUCACCAUUAAAUUAAA
Molecule: long non-coding RNA, 3306 nt
Filed under: Helianthus annuus (common sunflower)
Lineage: Eukaryota; Viridiplantae; Streptophyta; Magnoliopsida; Asterales; Asteraceae
Description: hypothetical non coding rna
Source: RNAcentral